This 2567-nucleotide long non-coding RNA is filed under the name Panicum hallii. RNAcentral describes it as "long non-coding RNA (PHAL_LNC000857)". Lineage: Eukaryota; Viridiplantae; Streptophyta; Magnoliopsida; Poales; Poaceae. The record is from RNAcentral.
CUCUUAAAAUAUAAAAGAAUCAAUAACUUAAGAUUCAAAUAAACAUGAGACGAGCAUAGAUUCAAGAUUUGCUAAAUGAAUAUACAAAUGUUUCCAUAGAAAAAUAGCAUGCAUUAAAGAUUGUAAGUUAUAGCUAGCAACCUAACAAGGGAGCAUUUGAGUAACGAGUACAAAUCACAGAGGUAAAAAAAAACAAUACAAACAUAUUACAAGUUAUAUCUUCAAGUAUAACCAUGAACUGCUCCUAGUGUUUUCCAUAGGACGGAUCAUAUAUCAGGAACUUGAAAUAUGCCUCUAUGAUGGUGAGGUAUAACUCGACAAGCUUGAGGUAGACAUGCUCCUUAUUACCGUUCCUCUCUUCGUCUUUUAAAUUCAGUUAUAGGUACCUACCUGCAAAUGAGUCAAGAAAGAGCACUGAACCACUGAUGAUCUCUGUACAUGAGAUGCAUGUCUGCUGGCAAUGUUCUCUUUUGAAAGGUUCUUACAUAAACCUAUGGCAACCAUCGACAUUCCGGGGAUGAUAUACAAAGUAGGCAUUUCAUUGUUGCCUAGACUUCUCAAGCCAUUCAGUUUUUCGGGCAGGAUAUGCACCAAAACAUGCACCAGCGUCUAACCAUAUGCACCGAAACAGCACUGGGAAGUUCUAGUUGUAGGAACUAAGCAAUGCAACAAAAGAGUAGGAUUGUAAGAAAAGAAACAGUAGACAAUACCAGAGUCUAACCAUAACAGUCCAGGCCCCAUAAUCUCAAACAACUUGGGAGUGUGUCCAUCCUUGACUCUUGAUCAGAAUAACGGCAACGACCAGUACUGCAGCCUAAAACAGAAAUCCCAAUAGUGAAAAUGAAACGUUUCUCUAAUUAGAACCACAUGCCCUAAUUAUUCGAAGGAAAAAUUAAAAUCAAGGAGAGGAAACGACGUGAUGAGCAAUACUAUGUAUGUGUGAUAUCCGGACCAUUAGGGUCUAGGUGAAGGAGUGUAAUGCAGCAGGCUUAAGCAUCAACAGCUUUUUUUCAGUCAGCGGGAAAACCAGUUAAAACCCUGAACCUUUCAUCAGACUUCAUUUAAAGAAAAACAGUAAAGCAAUAAUGAUAUAUCCAAUCAGAAAACUUGUUAGUAUUGAAGGGUCACUGGAGCAAGAAAAGAAAGAUGAGUUAAUACAGACACCAGAAACUCCAUGUGAAUUAAGACAGAUAAAAAUAGAAAUCAACAAACUUCUUAUAGAUAAGUCAGACUCUUGAAGAUUGUUGCUAUAAAAGAGAACAGAUGAAACUUGCGAUUAAAUAAGAUUUAUAUAUGAACUUAUGUCCACACGGAUAGGCCAUGGAUCAACAUCUGAAUUAGCAUCCCAGUAAGCAUCAUAUCAUACAUGACAAAUGACGGGACAGAAUUAUACUUACAAGAUAGUUAAAUAUGUCAGCUUUCCAAGACCAGGAGAAAUAAACCCGAUCAAAAAAUAAAUCCCCUGAAAAUAGAUGAUGUGCGAAAAAUGGGAAGAAUACUAAUUAAUAAACUACGAAAAGCAAAGCAACAUAUAAAAUACACCCUUAUAGGUAAUGCAAUGUCGACAUAUAACUAAGCUCUGGCGGGAACCGGGUUCAGUUAGCCUAUUGCCUUGUAGGUAUCUAACAUCAAAAAAUAAUACUAUGAAUCAGCCUUACUAUUACAAAAUGUUUGACAAAAGCUAGAAUAUUCUAUCAGUGCAACUGGACAGGUAAAAGCAUCACUGAUCAAAUCAACUACUUUGAUUGACAUAUAGAUUGACUACUUGAACCAACCACGUAAGGAACAUCCUCUCUAUUCCUAGCACCUUCUAUUUGUAUGAAUAACAAACCUGAGAUUAACCUACGUCCCUAAUCGAUAACACAUAUAUUUCAGCAAGUGACAACCCAGUGCAAAGCUAGAGCAAAACUGAUUUAAGUCUGAAUAUAAAGGCAGUAAAAAAAAUUAAUACAAUUGCAGAUGAUGGUUCUUACCGGUUAACAAACUUCAUUUUUGAUCAGUUGGGUUCACUUCUUAACAUCAGAGCCAGUGUCCAAGUAGGUUGACACGCAAUCUAGCUUAACAUAUUAUCUUGUUCCACCAUCAUGGGCUGCUCCUCAUAGAAACCAUCGACAUUCUGAAAUACUAAAUCAGUAACUUUAUGAUGUACUAAUGGAAACUAAGACAAAGUUAAUCAGGUUCUUGACUUUUUUUUUUCUUGCAAUAACCAACCGAGAGACACACAAAAAUUAGCAUCUGAUACUUUUCCCAUCAGAAAACGUAUUUUAGUGCAUUACAUGGUAAAAUUGAAUUUGAUCAUUUUAUCUCACACCAAUCUGUUGAAGAAAACUCAACAUUUUUUAUACCGCUCGCAUCAAUGUUGGAGAAGAAAUCUUUUGUCUAAUAAAGAUUUGUAACAGCACAUGUCUAUGUUCCUAUUCACUGCAGCAAGGAAGAGAAAUAGCUUGGGUUGACUGCUCACCGUUGGGGUGAUGAAUGUGAUUUUCAGUGGACGGCAAAGUAGUCUUGGUGGUGACCGACGGACAACUCCCAUAGUGGCAGAGUAGUUUUGGUGGUGGCCGACGGAC